AGCAGACUGGUGCACACCCCCUUGCUCUGAGGAGGCUCAGUCUAUCAGGUACAUGCCCGGGCGAGUUUCCUGUGUCAGCCUCCAAACAGACAGCAGCUCGCGUCGCGGUGGUUGUAGAGACUAGAUCAUGAACGCUAACGCAAUCCUCCUGGGGCUCUGUUUGAUUUUGGGAAGUUGGACUCCGUGUUCACACUUGUACUACAACAGCUCCUUCAGUUGAGCCAAAACAAAGCCCCAGAGUCUUUUAACAAGAAAAUGUCAUGUUGCAAGCAAUUCUUGAAUUGUCUUAUUUCCAAAGUCACAGUAUGAAAUUCAAUGUGUUUUUAUGUCCAGGACCCAAAAGAUGCUGUUCCUCAGGAGUCAAACUGACCUUCAAACAGAUGAUUCCAAACUCUGUGAUUCAUGUUUCUUCAUGCAGAUUCCUGCAGCUUUGGCCCGGCAGCAGUGCACCUGCUGAUGCCAACCGGGCCGGUGCCACCGGCGAUGAGGUCACCUGCAGGUAACUGGACCCGAGUGGUUGUGAUAAAUUUGCCAUCUUGUGUCUCACCUCUGCAGAAAAAUCAGGUCACUCCUUUCUCUCUCUGGGCUCGUUGCUCCACUCAAACUCAGAACCUAAUCUCACCCUGACCCGUCUGAGUCAGCUGUGGACCCACUCAGACCCAUGACCUGCACAUGAUGGAAAUAAGAGGUCUAGUGGGCUAAACGGCAGACUGUUUACAGGACCAAAGCAAAGGUUAAACCCAGGUGAACAUGUCAUAUGUGACUACAGCGUCAUGCUGACCUUUGACCCGUGUCACACACUGUCACACACAAAUUCUGCUCAUGUGACACUGACUUAACUGAACUUUAAGGACAAACUGUUACAUAACUGUUAUAUAUUUUCUUUUAUAGGUCAGUAAACGUUUAGUUAAUACGUUCAUGUUUUCAAAGCUUCAGUUAUUAUAAUAUAGUACUUCAUUUAUUUUUUUUUCCUUGGCUGUGACUGUGACUGUGGCUCAUUGGUUGUGAACAUGUAAAUGUGUGAUUUCUUAUGAGGUUGAACUGUCAUACAGAGCAAUUACAACAAGCAGCAUCCCGUUGCGUUUGGAUGUCACACUGUACAUGUGUAAUAUUAACUGUAGAAUUAGUCUUAAGGCCGUGAGAUUCUGUAAAUGAGUGUAGAAGGACCACAGGCCCCAGUGAUCUGAGAUCAGAGCACAAUGAUAGAGGGUACAGGUCUGAGCUGAGCCUAGUUUUACUGCAGAUCAUGCUUCCCUUCAGUGACAUCUAUCAGCACCUCCAACACACAGUUCCUGAAGGCUUGGGGAACAUUUUUGAAUGGAUUAUUAUUUCCUCUGGGACCGACAGAAGCCACGGCUGUCGGGUUACUGGCUCUCGACAGAUGAAACACAGAUCUAUUUCACUUUUAUUUAGACCUUGAUCAAAACUCCACAAAUUCACCAACAUGCAAGGACAAACUCUACACACACACACACACACACACACACACACACACACACACAC
This 1503-nucleotide long non-coding RNA is filed under the name Betta splendens (Siamese fighting fish). RNAcentral describes it as "lncRNA (ENSBSLG00000002347.1)". Lineage: Eukaryota; Metazoa; Chordata; Actinopteri; Anabantiformes; Osphronemidae. The record is from RNAcentral.